CAAUAGCGUAUAUUAAAGCUGUUGCGGUUAAAAAGCUCGUAGUUGGAUUUCUGUCAAGGACAACUGGUCCGCCCUCCGGGUGAGCACAUAGUUUGGUCUUGACAUCUUGCUGGAAGCUGUUGCUGCACUUGGCUGUGUGGCGCAGUGUUCAGCACUUUCACUUUGAGGAAAUUGGAGUGUUUCAAGCAGGCACAUGCCUUUGGACACAGUAGCAUGGAAUAAUUAGAUUGGGCUUUUGCUCCAAUUUGUCGGUUUCUGGAGCUGAGGUGAGUAUUAAUGGGGAUAGUUGGGGGCAUCCGAAUUUAGCCGUCAGAGGUGAAAUUCUUGGAUCUGCUAAAGACGGACAACUGCGAAAGCGUUUGCCCAGGAUGUUUUCAUUG
Molecule: ribosomal RNA, 380 nt
Filed under: uncultured eukaryote
Lineage: Eukaryota
Description: partial 18S ribosomal RNA
Rfam family: Eukaryotic small subunit ribosomal RNA
Source: RNAcentral